This 449-nucleotide ribosomal RNA is filed under the name Heterosigma akashiwo. Its description in RNAcentral is "partial Bacterial small subunit ribosomal RNA". It matches the Rfam family "Bacterial small subunit ribosomal RNA", at positions 327 to 788 of the family's 1533-position model. Lineage: Eukaryota; Raphidophyceae; Chattonellales; Chattonellaceae. The record is from RNAcentral.
CGGCCCAGACUCCUACGGGAGGCAGCAGUGGGGAAUAUUGCACAAUGGGCGGAAGCCUGAUGCAGCAACGCCGCGUGCGGGAUGACGGCCUUCGGGUUGUAAACCGCUUUCGCCUGUGACGAAGCGUGAGUGACGGUAAUGGGUAAAGAAGCACCGGCUAACUACGUGCCAGCAGCCGCGGUGAUACGUAGGGUGCGAGCGUUGUCCGGAUUUAUUGGGCGUAAAGGGCUCGUAGGUGGUUGAUCGCGUCGGAAGUGUAAUCUUGGGGCUUAACCCUGAGCGUGCUUUCGAUACGGGUUGACUUGAGGAAGGUAGGGGAGAAUGGAAUUCCUGGUGGAGCGGUGGAAUGCGCAGAUAUCAGGAGGAACACCGAUGGCGAAGGCAAUCCCCUGGACCUGUACUGACGCUCAUGCACGAAAGCGUGGGGAGCAAACAGGAUUAGAUACCCU